UUCCAUCCUUGAAGACAUUCAAGGUCAGGCUGUAGCAAACUGAUCCAGCUAUAGGUGUCCCUGUUCAUUGCAGGGGAAUUGGACUAGAUGAUCUUUAAGAUGGUUCCAACUCAGACGAUUCUAUGCUUCUAUAACUCUAUAAUAGUGAUAGAUCUGUGUGGAAGAUUUUUUUAGCAUUACUUACUACAUUAGUAGCUUUUACUACAUUAGUAGCUUUUAUCUUGUGAUGCUAAGUCUCCAAAGAAUGGGCUGAUUCAGGCUUAGUCACACAUUGUCUAGAAAGGAUUAAAAAAACAAACAAACAAACAAACAAAAAAAACCCAGUUGAAUUAUGAUAUCUACUUGUUUAGUCACUUGUUCCACAGAAGGGCAAUUCUGUGCUAGACUGUACGUGAAAGCAGAUAACCUUUCCAUUUUUCCCUGCUUGGUAAUUCAUCAGGAGAUGAAUAUAGUAAGUCAAUAACUUAUCACAAGAUACUUCAUAAAACAUUUUAUUAACUGUUCUGUUGAACAGGUUUAUAGCUUAACAUAUAUUCUAUCUUCUACUACAGCAAUUUUCUUUCCUUGGGAAUUUUUGAGCAUUUUCUUUUUAAAAACAAAAAAAAAAAAAAAAAAAAAAAAAAAAAAAAAAAAAAAAAAAAAAAAAGGAUAGACAAAGGGAAUGAGAAGGCCUGAGAAACAGGUUAGCAUUGCCAUUAAUACAGCAAAAUGUAGUGUUUGAAAGAAAAGUAGUAAACUCAUAACAGGAAUUAGAGAACCAUUGAAUAUACUGAGAUGGAAGGGAUCCAUCAGCAUCACUGAAUACAACUUUUGACUCUAUGCAGGGCGACCUCAUAGUUAAAUCAUUUAACAAAGGAGGUUCACUUCCCCCUCUACACUGUCCUGCUGAGACUGCAUCUGGAGUACUGUGUCCAGUUCUGGGCUCAUCAAUUCAAGAAAGACAGGACCACAAAAAAAAAAAAGUCCUGCAGAGGGCAACAAAGAUGAUUAAGCACCUCUCUCUUGAGCAAAGGCUGAGAGAUCUGGGACUGCUGAGCCUGGAAAAGAUAAGACUGAGAGGGUAUCUUAUCUACACCUAUAAAUAUGGGCAAGUGUCAAAAGGAUGGAGCCAGGCUCUUUUCAGUAAUGCCAAGGAACAGGACAAGGUGGAAAGGGUACAAACUGGAACACAUCUUAACAUGAGGAAGAAUUCCUUUACUUUGGGGGUGACAUAGCACUGGAACAGGUCUUCCAUGGAAGUUGCGGAGUCUCCUUUUCCGGAGAUAUUCAAGACCUUCCUGAUCUAUUAUUUGAUUCUGCAUCUCUAAAGAUCUUAAUGAAGUAUUAAUUGCUCAUUCAGUCAUUUUAAACAUAACCAGCAUAACAAAAAUGAGUGCAUAAUUAAUGGAUAUGUCAAUGAAUACUAGGAUACAUAUAAAUCUUGAGCUUUUAUCACACAUACAUUAAAAAAUAUAUGUGAAUAUCACAGUACUGCAAUGAAUACCUUAGAAGCGUUACUUCUACAGAUUGCCAUAGAACACAUGACAACAGUCUGUGUUUUCUGUUAAAUAUAAUUAUUUUGACCCUGUUGUGCUUAGGCAACACACAAGCAAGUUUGACUGCCUUACUAGAGAAACAUAAGCCAUUUCUGGACUAAUUCAAAUCAAUGUAUUUUACUCAGUGCUAACCACAUAUUUCUUCUUGUUCUUACCUGUUUUAUUUAUAAAACAUUUGCUUUUAGAUAAUUGAAGGAAAAUCUGUUGUUUGUAUGUGUUUAGAUUAUCUCAGAUCGAAACAAAGUCUUAGCAGGGGGCUGCAAUGUGUCAUGCACAAACUCACGUGACACUUAAGUCUGAAAAUGAUAUUAUAGCAGACAUACUUUUCUACCUCAGUCCAAAGUUUUCUGGUUAGUCAGUAAUAACGAACACUUAAAACAGUUUGUUGUGUUUUCAUCUUGGUAUUUCUGCAGAUGUUAGAGAGAACAUUAUUUAUGCAAUACUAUAAUUAGCACACAGAGAUUUUGGGAUUCAUAGAAUCACAGAAUAUCCUGAGCUGGAAGGGAAACACAAGGAUCAUCGAGUCCACUUCCUUGUUCCACACAGGACAAUCCAAAAUUCAAACUAUAUUCUGAGAGCAUAGUUCAAACCUUUCUUGAACUCCAGCAGCUCAGUGCUAUGACCAUUGCAUUGGAGAGCCCAUUCCAGUGCCUGACCACUCUCUGAGGAAAAAUCUUUUCCUAACUCCAAAUCUGACCUCCCCUCUCCAUAAAGCAGCAUUCCCUCAAGUUCUGUUGCAAUCAGCAGAGAUAAGGGAUAAGCACCUCUACUCUCUUUAUACAAGCUAUUUGAGAAGCAAUAAGGAAGAACUAGAAAUACAAUGGCUGUGUGCAUUUCUGGUGCUUUUGGGACAUGCUUUGCCUACCAAAUGUUUGGUAGUUUCUGAAAAGAUAUGCAUAAACAACAUACAUAUGGAGCAUAUCUGCAUAUUUCAUCACCAAAUAACAGCAAAAUAAUAAUGUAAUUAGGAUGUCUCUUGGCCAUGUGAUAGGUAACAAAAUUGAGAGAGAAGUUGAAAACUAACAAAGAUAAAGCAAAAAAAUUAAAAAAUAGCACAACAACAAUUACUCUUCUAAGAGAAAAAGAGAAAAUAAAAGAAAUAUAUGGAGUAGAAAGAAUACAAACUUUUAAGGUCAUAACUGAAACCACCACCCAUGGUAAACUGCAGAGAUCUCUGUUUAUUUACUUCGGACAGAUGAAAGCCUGAGUCACCCAUGAGCCAGUGACACAAACCUUGGGUAGGGUGAUAUCCUACCUCAUUCCUCACUCAUCUGAUGCCAGAAAUAUGUUACAAGCAGGAGGUAUAAAAAAUGAGCAGACAAGUUUCUGGGAAAGCUGCAGUCUUUUGUGUUCAAAUGAAAACAAAACCUGUAAACCCUGUGAAAACCAAUGAAAACGAAAUGGCUGGUUAGAGUUCAGCUAGCUGUUUACUUGUGGAGCACUGAAAGAGAAUCACUUCUGCACUUCAAUGAGAUCAACACUCCUAUGAGAUCAAACAUUUUACAUCUACAUACAAACCUGCCUGUAUACCCAGCCUUUCACAUCUGACCUCCCACUCUUUUCCCAGUAAAGCACCCUACUAAACUGAAAAGGAUCAGUUAGAGGAAAAAUAAAACCACAUACACACCCACUUCACAUAUUUACAUAUUCUCUGGACCUUGGGACCAAACUCCAUUAUUCUCACUGAAUGAUUGUUCUUCCUUUAAGAGAAAGGUCUCAGGUGGAUAUUUCCAGAUCUAAAUUCCAAUUGUGGACUUAGCUUCUAAGUCCACUUAUAGAAUUUACUAUAAAGAAGCCUGAACUGAGCUGCCACCCAUGAGAGGACCCAUGCUGGAGCAGUUUCCUUCUGAAGGAUGGGGUCCUGUGGUACAGAUUGAUGUUGCAGCAGUUUCAAAAUCACAGAAUGGUUUAGAUUGGAAGGUACCUUCUGGAAGUCUUGAAGAACUGCAGCCUGUGGUAAGCUCACAUUGGAUCUGUCAGUGACGUACUGCAUCCCAUGGAAUAGACCCCACAAAGGAGGACUGAAGAGUGAGGAUAAAGAGUGGCAAUGAUGAAGCACUAUGAACUGACUGCAUCCCUGUUUCACAGAGUCUCUUGGGGGGAGGAGAUAGAAAAAGAUGGUGAUUUUAGUUUGCUCUCAUUUAUCACUAAUUGUCAGGAAAUUACACUAACCUUCUCCAUGCUGAGUCUGUUUUGCCCAUGGCUAUAAUUGGUGGGGGAUCUCCUUAUCUAAUUCUCAAUCCAUGAACUUUUCCUUGGUAUUUUUCUCCCUCUGUCCUUUUUGAGGAAGGAAAGUGAGAGAGGUUCUGUGUUGGUGCUUAGCUGCCUAUUGGUGUUAAGCCACAACACAUAACACAAUGGUAAUGUUUUUGCAUGCUUCCCCUCAUUUCAUUUUCUGUUUUGUUCAGUUUUGUAAGAGCAUGCCCAUCUCCACCAGUAUUCCAGAAGUUUUAACAAGAAACACACUACUGAUGUUUACAGAGCCUUCUACACAUAUCUUUUAUCUUGCUUUUAAGGAUAAAUAACACAAGAAUUUUGCUCUGUGCUAUGCAAUUUCAAUCAGUCCUCACCAGGAUAACAAAAGGCUAGUUACGCAGGCUCUAUUUCAAAGUAAACAAGUUGAAUGUUGGGAGCUAAUGAUAGAUGUUAAAGCCAAGAAAAACCAUGAACUCAUAUAACUUUCUUUAGUCUACACAAGUAAACAACACUUUCCAGAAAACCAUUCAGAAAUGAAAUAUCUACAUUUUCAUUUGGUUCUAUUGUUUAUUAUACAGUAACAAAGUAUGUAAUAUUUCUCUGUUGAAUUUGUACACCAUCAUGUUCAAGUCAUUAUUUCUUAUGCCUCAUUUGAUGAAAAAGCCCUGAAUACUCUUUGUGAAGGUACUUAUUUAUUCUAAUCAAGACAACCCAGACCAUACGGCAAGCUGAGCAAGACCACUCAGUCUCUCUGUAAGACAUCUCCUGAAGCCAUUUUCUGUAUUCCCUCCUGAAAUUAUUACAUUUCUAAACUAACCAAUGUACAUAUCUUAUUUAGCACUGCUCUUUUCAAUAUAAAAUGCCAACAAUCUUGGCAAAACAGUACUUCUCAAGGACUGAGAACCCUCUCUUCCACACACUGUCAUCAUCUUCUGUUUAAUAUGAACUGAUAGAAUACUCUCCUUACCUUGAUUGUUACUUUAUGUAGCUGUACUUCACGUAAUAUAAAGUGAUUAUAAGUGUAA
This is a non-coding RNA of Coturnix japonica (Japanese quail), 4756 nucleotides long. Lineage: Eukaryota; Metazoa; Chordata; Aves; Galliformes; Phasianidae. The record is from RefSeq and is a predicted model, not a curated record.